AAAUACAUCUAUGUGAGCACACCAAUGAACUGGACCAAUGCUCAGAGGUACUGCAGGGAGCGCUACACAGACCUGGCCAGUAUGAGGAAUGAAUCUGAGUGGAACGAAAUGAAGACGCUGGUGAAGAAACAUGCAUGGAUGGGCCUGUACAGAGUGGCGUGGAAGUGGUCUGAUGCUCAGAUCAUGGACAUCACUUCAUUCCAAAAAUGGAGCACGAAACAGCCCACGAAAAUCAAUCAUCACUGUGUGACCACGACUCACAGUGGAUGGAGUGCACGGCCUUGUAGCGACAAAUAUGCUUUUGUCUGCAGGGUGAGGAAACAGGUGAGACUGAAGGUGAUGCUGAAAACAUCAGACUCCUCUGUGGACCUGGAAGACAUGCAGGAUGCUAUCUUGGAGCAGUUCAACCAGAGACUGAAGGACCAUGGCAGGAGUGAACAUGUCAAGCUGAAGUGGAUGAAGCAGCCUGAUGGAAAGAUCUUUCAAUUAAAAGAAAGUGAGGAGAAGAAAAAAGAAAAAUGAGACAAAUGAAAAAAGCUGCUUUCACAAACAAUGUUAAUUUCAUGCCUCAAACAGAAUUGAGGAUGUUAUUAGUGAUUUAGAAAGAAUGUUGGCCUAAAUGUUAGAAGGAUCUUUACCCUGGUGGCUCCUGAUGAGAAGCAGAAGAUCUCUAAAAUAUCCAAGUGUCUUCAAUUCAGAUUUCUUUUUUGGCUUUUUUUCAAAAUUAUUAUAAGUGAACUCUCUUUCACUUAAAUGUUGGUAAUUUUAAGUGAAAGCACAUUAAACAUUACUUAAUAUUUAUUGCUGUCAAAUAGUUUGAGAUGCUGUUUAAUAUUAACUGCUUAUAUAUCUUUUACUGGUUCAUAUAAUUAUCAAACUGUUUCUUAAUUUGGGCUACACAGUAGAGUAGUGGUUAGCACUUUCACCUUGCAUCAAGAAGAUCCCCGGUUCAAAUCCCGGCCUGGGAUCUUUCUGCAUGGAGUUUGCGUGUGUGGGCUUUCUCAGUGUGUUUUGCCUCAGUCCAAAACAUGCUGAGGUUAAUUGAGUACUCUAAAUUGCCCGUAGGUGUGAAUGUGAGUGUGAUUGUCUAUCUGUAUAUGUAGCCCUGUGACAGACUGGUGACCUGUCCAGGGUGUCCCCUGCCUUCACCCGAGUCAGCUGGGAUAGGCUCCAGCACCCCCCGUGACCCUAGUGAGGAUAAAGCGGUGUAUAGAGAAUGGAUGGAUGUUUCUUAAUUUUACUGCUAUGUAAACUUAUGUUUUGAUUGUGAUUCCUUUUUCUGUUAUUAGAAACUUGUAAUUGUGUGAUUCUUCUUUUUCAUUUAUAAGGUAAAUGUGUUCACUUGCAGCAUGAAUCUGCUCUGAUGGUAACUGACUCCAGCAGAUGAUUGGUAAACAGAGGUGGGAUAUCUUCAGUGAUAUGUACAAUAAUAAAUCAGCAACAUUACAUUACAUACACUAUUACAUACUGUAUGCUAUCAUUGUAAAAACAUCAAUUUAGGUUAUGUUCUUUGGUAUUAAGAGCUGUUUUUGGUUGUUUAUUUGUGCUAAAACUAAUUUUCAGAGCUCACUUUAAAGGCCCACUGAAACCAUACUGUUAAUUUUCAAAACCAGACUUAAAUCAGAUUUUAUAAUAAUUCUUAUUUUUUAGGUUUUCGCAGUGUUACAUUAGUUGGUCAAUUUCAAAUCAGCCUCAGUUAUUUAUCUUGUUCAAUCAGAGCUUAAAAUAAGAGUUCAAACUUUUUACUCAAAAUGUUGAGUUGACUUGACACAAAAAACUAAACACUUUGGGAUUCAUUUAGUAUGAACUGAAAUUCUUGUGAAAGUGAUCUAUUUUCAUGUUUGACUUCAGUUACACAGUGGAAAUUUGAAAUGUGUCUCAGAUUAGUCAGAUUUCAUUUCUAUGUUGCUGUAAAACAUUAAAACUAUGACGAUGAAAAAUCCAACAGAAAAUGCCAAUUACAAGGAUGUACAGUUUGGAAAGUCUAAGUUACUUUGACAACAAUUAUGUAAAGGUAGCUGACUAGGAGAUUUAAAUGGAAUUCAGCCUGAAGAAAGUUAAAUAACCUGAAUAAAGACGGACAAA
This is a long non-coding RNA of Acanthochromis polyacanthus (spiny chromis), 2085 nucleotides long. RefSeq lists it as uncharacterized. The record is from RefSeq and is a predicted model, not a curated record. NCBI's taxonomy places the organism in Eukaryota, Metazoa, Chordata, Actinopteri, Pomacentridae. The transcript is spliced from 3 exons.